Molecule: ribosomal RNA, 132 nt
Filed under: Triticum aestivum (bread wheat)
Lineage: Eukaryota; Viridiplantae; Streptophyta; Magnoliopsida; Poales; Poaceae
Description: partial small subunit ribosomal RNA
Source: RNAcentral
AUGGUUUCAUCCGUGGGGUUAGGAGUAAAGCAUCCCAAGGCUGGCGCAUCUCGUUGGGCGUGGAGAAGCAUUGGGAACCCCAAUAUCUUUCUUCGGAGUAGUUUCUUUUCCCGUCCCCUCGCCCCGGCAUAG